RNAcentral lists this ribosomal RNA (2924 nucleotides) under Bacillus velezensis. RNAcentral describes it as "23S ribosomal RNA". It matches the Rfam family "Bacterial large subunit ribosomal RNA". Lineage: Bacteria; Bacillati; Bacillota; Bacilli; Caryophanales; Bacillaceae. The record is from RNAcentral.
GGUUAAGUUAGAAAGGGCGCACGGUGGAUGCCUUGGCACUAGGAGCCGAUGAAGGACGGGACGAACACCGAUAUGCUUCGGGGAGCUGUAAGCAAGCUUUGAUCCGGAGAUUUCCGAAUGGGGAAACCCACCACUCGUAAUGGAGUGGUAUCCAUAUCUGAAUACAUAGGAUAUGAGAAGGCAGACCCGGGGAACUGAAACAUCUAAGUACCCGGAGGAAGAGAAAGCAAAUGCGAUUCCCUGAGUAGCGGCGAGCGAAACGGGACCAGCCCAAACCAAGAGGCUUGCCUCUUGGGGUUGUAGGACACUCUGUACGGAGUUACAAAGGAACGAGGUAGAUGAAGAGGUCUGGAAAGGCCCGCCAUAGGAGGUAACAGCCCUGUAGUCAAAACUUCGUUCUCUCCUGAGUGGAUCCUGAGUACGGCGGAACACGUGAAAUUCCGUCGGAAUCCGGGAGGACCAUCUCCCAAGGCUAAAUACUCCCUAGUGACCGAUAGUGAACCAGUACCGUGAGGGAAAGGUGAAAAGCACCCGGAAGGGGAGUGAAAGAGAUCCUGAAACCGUGUGCCUACAAGUAGUCAGAGCCCGUUAACGGGUGAUGGCGUGCCUUUUGUAGAAUGAACCGGCGAGUUACGAUCCCGUGCAAGGUUAAGCAGAAGAUGCGGAGCCGCAGCGAAAGCGAGUCUGAAUAGGGCGAAUUGAGUACGUGGUCGUAGACCCGAAACCAGGUGAUCUACCCAUGUCCAGGGUGAAGUUCAGGUAACACUGAAUGGAGGCCCGAACCCACGCACGUUGAAAAGUGCGGGGAUGAGGUGUGGGUAGGGGUGAAAUGCCAAUCGAACCUGGAGAUAGCUGGUUCUCUCCGAAAUAGCUUUAGGGCUAGCCUCAAGGUAAGAGUCUCGGAGGUAGAGCACUGAUUGGACUAGGGGCCCCUACCGGGUUACCGAAUUCAGUCAAACUCCGAAUGCCGAUGACUUAUCCUUGGGAGUCAGACUGCGAGUGAUAAGAUCCGUAGUCGAAAGGGAAACAGCCCAGACCGCCAGCUAAGGUCCCAAAGUAUACGUUAAGUGGAAAAGGAUGUGGAGUUGCUUAGACAACCAGGAUGUUGGCUUAGAAGCAGCCACCAUUUAAAGAGUGCGUAAUAGCUCACUGGUCGAGUGACUCUGCGCCGAAAAUGUACCGGGGCUAAACGUAUCACCGAAGCUGCGGACUGUUCUUCGAACAGUGGUAGGAGAGCGUUCUAAGGGCUGUGAAGCAAGACCGGAAGGACUUGUGGAGCGCUUAGAAGUGAGAAUGCCGGUAUGAGUAGCGAAAGAGGGGUGAGAAUCCCCUCCACCGAAUGCCUAAGGUUUCCUGAGGAAGGCUCGUCCGCUCAGGGUUAGUCGGGACCUAAGCCGAGGCCGAAAGGCGUAGGCGAUGGAUAACAGGUUGAUAUUCCUGUACCACCUCCUCACCAUUUGAGCAAUGGGGGGACGCAGGAGGAUAGGGUAAGCGCGGUAUUGGAUAUCCGCGUCCAAGCAGUUAGGCUGGGAAAUAGGCAAAUCCGUUUCCCGUGAAGGCUGAGCUGUGAUGGCGAGCGAAUUAUAGUAGCGAAGUUCCUGAUUCCACACUGCCAAGAAAAGCCUCUAGCGAGGUGAGAGGUGCCCGUACCGCAAACCGACACAGGUAGGCGAGGAGAGAAUCCUAAGGUGAUCGAGAGAACUCUCGUUAAGGAACUCGGCAAAAUGACCCCGUAACUUCGGGAGAAGGGGUGCUCUGUUAGGGUGAAAGCCCGAGAGAGCCGCAGUGAAUAGGCCCAGGCGACUGUUUAGCAAAAACACGGUCUCUGCGAAGCCGUAAGGCGAAGUAUAGGGGCUGACGCCUGCCCGGUGCUGGAAGGUUAAGAGGAGCGCUUAGCGUAAGCGAAGGUGCGAAUUGAAGCCCCAGUAAACGGCGGCCGUAACUAUAACGGUCCUAAGGUAGCGAAAUUCCUUGUCGGGUAAGUUCCGACCCGCACGAAAGGCGCAACGAUCUGGGCACUGUCUCAACGAGAGACUCGGUGAAAUUAUAGUACCUGUGAAGAUGCAGGUUACCCGCGACAGGACGGAAAGACCCCGUGGAGCUUUACUGCAGCCUGAUAUUGAAUGUUGGUACAGCUUGUACAGGAUAGGUAGGAGCCUUGGAAACCGGAGCGCCAGCUUCGGUGGAGGCAUCGGUGGGAUACUACCCUGGCUGUAUUGACCUUCUAACCCGCCGCCCUUAUCGGGGGGAGACAGUGUCAGGUGGGCAGUUUGACUGGGGCGGUCGCCUCCUAAAAGGUAACGGAGGCGCCCAAAGGUUCCCUCAGAAUGGUUGGAAAUCAUUCGCAGAGUGUAAAGGCACAAGGGAGCUUGACUGCGAGACCUACAAGUCGAGCAGGGACGAAAGUCGGGCUUAGUGAUCCGGUGGUUCCGCAUGGAAGGGCCAUCGCUCAACGGAUAAAAGCUACCCCGGGGAUAACAGGCUUAUCUCCCCAAGAGUCCACAUCGACGGGGAGGUUUGGCACCUCGAUGUCGGCUCAUCGCAUCCUGGGGCUGUAGUCGGUCCCAAGGGUUGGGCUGUUCGCCCAUUAAAGCGGUACGCGAGCUGGGUUCAGAACGUCGUGAGACAGUUCGGUCCCUAUCCGUCGCGGCGCAGGAAAUUUGAGAGGAGCUGUCCUUAGUACGAGAGGACCGGGAUGGACGCACCGCUGGUGUACCAGUUGUUCUGCCAAGGGCAUCGCUGGGUAGCUAUGUGCGGACGGGAUAAGUGCUGAAAGCAUCUAAGCAUGAAGCCCCCCUCAAGAUGAGAUUUCCCAUUCCGCAAGGAAGUAAGAUCCCUGAAAGAUGAUCAGGUUGAUAGGUCUGAGGUGGAAGUGUGGCGACACAUGGAGCUGACAGAUACUAAUCGAUCGAGGACUUAACCAA